GAAAAUGUGGCAGUCAUUCUAAUACUUUGUUCUUUAGCUUUGGUUACAAAAGUUGAAAUCAUUAGUGAGUUUUUAUUAGACAAUGAAAUGUUCUAUUAGAUAAGUUACUAAAUUAACUGUAGCUGUAUCUUCUUUUGCAAACAAAUAUUUGUUCCAGAACCUGACUGGAUUUGUCUGUGUGCCACAACAACAUACUGGCAGUAGUCAAAUAAUGCACACAAGUUAAAAAACUGGAAAUGAAAUCUGGCAACCCUGCAGUCUUCACUAUAAAUUUUCAGAUGUACAUGAUGUGAUCUCUGAGAAGUAUGCUUACCCAUGAACUGCGUCUCUACGUUGCAACACAGUUAGAAGAGUGCAGCAUCCAGUUUCCCCGGCAGCUGUGGCAGCACCUGGUGGUAAUGCCACCCUGGAGUGCUCUUUCUCUACCAGCAAAAGCCUCAAUCUAACAAACCUCAUCAUUAACUGGCAGCACGGGG
Colossoma macropomum (tambaqui) is the source of this 476-nucleotide long non-coding RNA. RefSeq lists it as uncharacterized. The record is from RefSeq and is a predicted model, not a curated record. The transcript has 3 exons. NCBI's taxonomy places the organism in Eukaryota, Metazoa, Chordata, Actinopteri, Characiformes, Serrasalmidae.